This is a long non-coding RNA of Rhinopithecus roxellana (golden snub-nosed monkey), 980 nucleotides long. RefSeq lists it as uncharacterized. The transcript is spliced from 2 exons. Lineage: Eukaryota; Metazoa; Chordata; Mammalia; Primates; Cercopithecidae. The record is from RefSeq and is a predicted model, not a curated record.
AAUUCAUCUAGGAUAUGUGAAAUAACCAUUUAAAAAUUGAAAGAGAGAAUGUUGGGGAAAAUUUUAUUACCAGAUAAUGCUUAUUAUAAACCUGUAAGUUAAAAUAAUUUGAUACUGACCGAGGACUAAAUUAAGAAUCAACUAACUUUAUUGUUGAAGGAAGUAAGACUUAAAGAAUUUAAGUUGCCCAAGGUCACAGAACUCCAAAUGAAUAAUGUCAGACUUCCAAACCCACACUCAACCACACUGCAAUGCUACCUUCCUAAAAUAUACAUAAAUACAUGUAUUCAGAAAAACUAUAAAUAAGAAGUACAUUAAAAUAUUAAUAUUAGUUAUCAUAGGUGACAGAAUUAUGGGAUGACUGUUCAUUUUUCCCCCAUACCCUUUUUUGAAUUUUUUCAAAUGUACUACAAAGAACAUGUAUUGCUUUUAUAACUGGACAAAAAGAACAAUACCUUCUAUUUUCAGAAACCAAAACUUCAUUGCCCCUUCAAUAUGGGAAUCCAGCCAGACCUUAUUCUUGGACAGCAUCAGUGAAACGGGCUUGGGAAAGCUCUUGGGCGUAGCAGCAGAGGCAUGUCAUAUAUGGAAACCUUCCAUGAGGGUGACCUCACCACUGGAACCCAUUCAACAUAAACCUUGUCGCAAGAACUAGCAGAGCUCUUUGGACAAAACGUGCUCACCAAGAUGGAAGAACAGAGCCUGUAGGUCCACUUACUAAAUGGAUUCCCACUUUACAGUGAAGACGGAGCUUGCAGUAACCACAAAAGUUUCUGUAUAAGCAAAUUUAGGGAAUUGAAUUUCAGACAGUGUGGUUGUCUCCUUACUUACGAACUUGGAAUACCUACCUAGGUAACAACUAGCAUCAAAGGUUUUUGAUCUGUAGCCUUUCUUUCUGUCCAUAAUUGGCUAGUAGCUUCCGCUGUAUAUACAAACCAUUCCCUGUCUGAGAAAAUUAAACUAUAUCAUCAGAGUAAGAA